GUAGGCGGGGCGUGAGGUUCUAGUACCCGAGCUCAUACUAGGGACGGGAAGUCGCGACCAGAGCCAUUGGAGGGCGCGGGUACUGCAACCCUAAUCAGAGCCCAAAUGGCGCAGUGGGAAAUGCUGCAGAAUCUUGACAGCCCCUUUCAGGACCAGCUGAACUAUGAGUGUGGCCGUUGCAGCCAGGACCCAGAGUCCUUGUUGCUGCAGCACAAUUUGCGGAAAUUCUGCCGGGACAUUCAGCCCUUUUCCCAGGAUCCUACCCAGUUGGCUGAGAUGAUCUUUAACCUCCUUCUGGAAGAAAAAAGAAUUUUGAUCCAGGCUCAGAGGGCCCAAUCGGAGCAAGGAGAGCCAGUUCUCGAAACACCUGUGGAAAGCCAGCAACAUGAGAUUGAAUCCCGGAUCCUGGAUUUAAGGGCUAUGAUGGAGAAGCUGGUAAAAUCCGUCAGUCAACUGAAAGACCAGCAGGAUGUCUUCUGCUUCCGAUAUAAGAUCCAGGCCAAAGGUAGGAAGCACAUUGAGGGGCUGGAGAAAGAUAAGUGCCUGCUGAGAAGCCGGAGCUGGAAGUGAACAGGAGAAAGCUCCAAUGAGCAGUAGUCACUGUCAGACACACCCCACUGACUACAGUCCUGCUGCCGUGCAAAGCUGGAAGUGCUUUGUGGAGGUUGAGCUGGAGGUGUAGCUGAGAGACAGUAAAUAUUGAGGAAAUGCAUGGAAAACUAACAGUGUUUUAUUUGAGGGGGUGUCUGGUCCAAGCAUGACCAUUCAGAAUUUGCCUGAGGGUCCCACAGGUGCCUGUGCUUUGCUUGGUUUCCCUUUCUUCCUCCACAAAAUUCCUCCUUCCUGACUCCGACCCCAGUCAGGAAGGAGAGGAAAGAACCCCUGGACUGACUCCUAUUCCCACCAUCCAGGGAAGACACCCUCUCUGGACCCCCAUCAGACCAAAGAGCAGAAGAUUCUGCAGGAAACUCUCAAUGAACUGGACAAAAGGAGAAAGGAGGUGCUGGAUGCCUCCAAAGCACUGCUAGGCCGAUUAACGACCCUAAUCGAGCUACUG
RNAcentral lists this small RNA (1057 nucleotides) under Pongo abelii (Sumatran orangutan). RNAcentral describes it as "retained intron". The record is from RNAcentral. Lineage: Eukaryota; Metazoa; Chordata; Mammalia; Primates; Hominidae.